This 136-nucleotide ribosomal RNA is filed under the name Phialophora verrucosa. Its description in RNAcentral is "partial large subunit ribosomal RNA". It matches the Rfam family "Eukaryotic large subunit ribosomal RNA", at positions 99 to 233 of the family's 3401-position model. Lineage: Eukaryota; Fungi; Ascomycota; Eurotiomycetes; Chaetothyriales; Herpotrichiellaceae. The record is from RNAcentral.
CGGCAACAGCUCAAAUUUGAAAUCUGGCCUCUCGGGGUCCGAGUUGUAAUUUGUAGAGGAUGUUUUGGGUACCGCCCCGGUUUAAAUUUCUUGGAACAGAAUGUCAGAGAGGGUGAGAAUCCCGUCUUUGACACGG